Molecule: ribosomal RNA, 501 nt
Filed under: uncultured bacterium
Lineage: Bacteria
Description: partial 16S ribosomal RNA
Rfam family: Bacterial small subunit ribosomal RNA
Source: RNAcentral
AUUGAACGCUGGCGGCAGGCUUAACACAUGCGAGUCGAGCGGAGCGAGGGUGCUUGCACCUUAGCUUAGCGGCGGACGGGUGAGUAAUGCUUAGGAAUCUGCCUAUUAGUGGGGGACAACAUUCCGAAAGGAAUGCUAAUACCGCAUACGCCCUACGGGGGAAAGCAGGGGAUCUUCGGACCUUGCGCUAAUAGAUGAGCCUAAGUCGGAUUAGCUAGUUGGUGGGGUAAAGGCCUACCAAGGCGACGAUCUGUAGCGGGUCUGAGAGGAUGAUCCGCCACACUGGGACUGAGACACGGCCCAGACUCCUACGGGAGGCAGCAGUGGGGAAUAUUGGACAAUGGGCGGAAGCCUGAUCCGGCCAUGCCGCGUGUGUGAAGAAGGCCUUUUGGUUGUAAAGCACUUUAAGCGAGGAGGAGGCUACUUAGAUUAAUACUCUGGGAUAGUGGACGUUACUCGCAGAAUAAGCACCGGCUAACUCUGUGCCAGCCGCCGCCAUAA